This 484-nucleotide ribosomal RNA is filed under the name uncultured bacterium. RNAcentral describes it as "partial 16S ribosomal RNA". It matches the Rfam family "Bacterial small subunit ribosomal RNA", at positions 30 to 507 of the family's 1533-position model. The record is from RNAcentral.
AUUGAACGCUGGCGGCAGGCCUAACACAUGCAAGUCGAGCGGAUGAAGGGAGCUUGCUCCUGGAUUCAGCGGCGGACGGGUGAGUAAUGCCUAGGAAUCUGCCUGGUAGUGGGGGAUAACGUCCGGAAACGGGCGCUAAUACCGCAUACGUCCUGAGGGAGAAAGUGGGGGAUCUUCGGACCUCACGCUAUCAGAUGAGCCUAGGUCGGAUUAGCUAGUUGGUGGGGUAAAGGCCUACCAAGGCGACGAUCCGUAACUGGUCUGAGAGGAUGAUCAGUCACACUGGUACUGAGACACGGUCCAGACUCCUACGGGAGGCAGCAGUGGGGAAUAUUGGACAAUGGGCGAAAGCCUGAUCCAGCCAUGCCGCGUGUGUGAAGAAGGUCUUCGGAUUGUAAAGCACUUUAAGUUGGGAGGAAGGGCAGUAAGUUAAUACCUUGCUGUUUUGACGUUACCAACAGAAUAAGCACCGGCUAACUUCGUG